GCUGACUCUCUUUUCAGAUUCAGCCCAGUUGCACCCAAGUAAAAUAAACAGUCUUGUUGCUCACACAAAGCCUGUUGGUGGACUCUCUUCAUAUGGACUCAUGUGACAUUUGGUGCCGAAGACCUGAGACAGGAGGACUCCUUUGGGAGACCGGUCCCCUGUCCUCGCCCUCUCUCCAUGAGAUCCACCCAUGACCUCGGGUCCUCAGCCCAGCCGAAGGAACUUCUCACCAAUUUUAAAUCGGGGACGCAAAGCCAACAAGAAUGAAGAAGUGGCCAGGUAUGGUGGCUCAUGCCUGUAAUCCCAGCACUUAGGGAGGCCGAGGAGGAAGAAUUGCUUGAGGCCAGGAAUCCCAGACCAGCCUGGACAACAUGGCAAAAUCCAGUCUUUACAAAAAAAAAAUUUUUUUAAUUGCUGGGCAUGGUGGCACACACCUGUGGUCCCAACUACUUGGGAGGCUGUGGCAGGAGGAUUGCUUGAGCUCAAGAGUUCCAGGCUGCAAUUAGCUAUGAUCAGACCACUGCACUCCAGCCUGGGCAACAGAGUGAGACCCUGAAAAACAAAAAAGAAGGGAGGAAGGGGGGAAA
RNAcentral lists this long non-coding RNA (587 nucleotides) under Homo sapiens (human). RNAcentral's name for it is "HSALNT0398269". The record is from RNAcentral. Lineage: Eukaryota; Metazoa; Chordata; Mammalia; Primates; Hominidae.